GGUUAAGCGACUAAGCGUACACGGUGGAUGCCCUGGCAGUCAGAGGCGAUGAAGGACGUGCUAAUCUGCGAUAAGCGUCGGUAAGGUGAUAUGAACCGUUAUAACCGGCGAUUUCCGAAUGGGGAAACCCAGUGUGUUUCGACACACUAUCAUUAACUGAAUCCAUAGGUUAAUGAGGCGAACCGGGGGAACUGAAACAUCUAAGUACCCCGAGGAAAAGAAAUCAACCGAGAUUCCCCCAGUAGCGGCGAGCGAACGGGGAGCAGCCCAGAGCCUGAAUCAGUGUGUGUGUUAGUGGAAGCGUCUGGAAAGGCGCGCGAUACAGGGUGACAGCCCCGUACACAAAAAUGCACAUGCUGUGAGCUCGAUGAGUAGGGCGGGACACGUGGUAUCCUGUCUGAAUAUGGGGGGACCAUCCUCUAAGGCUAAAUACUCCUGACUGACCGAUAGUGAACCAGUACCGUGAGGGAAAGGCGAAAAGAACCCCGGCGAGGGGAGUGAAAAAGAACCUGAAACCGUGUACGUACAAGCAGUGGGAGCACGCUUAGGCGUGUGACUGCGUACCUUUUGUAUAAUGGGUCAGCGACUUAUAUUCUGUAGCAAGGUUAACCGAAUAGGGGAGCCGAAGGGAAACCGAGUCUUAACUGGGCGUUAAGUUGCAGGGUAUAGACCCGAAACCCGGUGAUCUAGCCAUGGGCAGGUUGAAGGUUGGGUAACACUAACUGGAGGACCGAACCGACUAAUGUUGAAAAAUUAGCGGAUGACUUGUGGCUGGGGGUGAAAGGCCAAUCAAACCGGGAGAUAGCUGGUUCUCCCCGAAAGCUAUUUAGGUAGCGCCUCGUGAAUUCAUCUCCGGGGGUAGAGCACUGUUUCGGCAAGGGGGUCAUCCCGACUUACCAACCCGAUGCAAACUGCGAAUACCGGAGAAUGUUAUCACGGGAGACACACGGCGGGUGCUAACGUCCGUCGUGAAGAGGGAAACAACCCAGACCGCCAGCUAAGGUCCCAAAGUCAUGGUUAAGUGGGAAACGAUGUGGGAAGGCCCAGACAGCCAGGAUGUUGGCUUAGAAGCAGCCAUCAUUUAAAGAAAGCGUAAUAGCUCACUGGUCGAGUCGGCCUGCGCGGAAGAUGUAACGGGGCUAAACCAUGCACCGAAGCUGCGGCAGCGACGCUUAUGCGUUGUUGGGUAGGGGAGCGUUCUGUAAGCCUGCGAAGGUGUGCUGUGAGGCAUGCUGGAGGUAUCAGAAGUGCGAAUGCUGACAUAAGUAACGAUAAAGCGGGUGAAAAGCCCGCUCGCCGGAAGACCAAGGGUUCCUGUCCAACGUUAAUCGGGGCAGGGUGAGUCGACCCCUAAGGCGAGGCCGAAAGGCGUAGUCGAUGGGAAACAGGUUAAUAUUCCUGUACUUGGUGUUACUGCGAAGGGGGGACGGAGAAGGCUAUGUUGGCCGGGCGACGGUUGUCCCGGUUUAAGCGUGUAGGCUGGUUUUCCAGGCAAAUCCGGAAAAUCAAGGCUGAGGCGUGAUGACGAGGCACUACGGUGCUGAAGCAACAAAUGCCCUGCUUCCAGGAAAAGCCUCUAAGCAUCAGGUAACAUCAAAUCGUACCCCAAACCGACACAGGUGGUCAGGUAGAGAAUACCAAGGCGCUUGAGAGAACUCGGGUGAAGGAACUAGGCAAAAUGGUGCCGUAACUUCGGGAGAAGGCACGCUGAUAUGUAGGUGAAGCGACUUGCUCGUGGAGCUGAAAUCAGUCGAAGAUACCAGCUGGCUGCAACUGUUUAUUAAAAACACAGCACUGUGCAAACACGAAAGUGGACGUAUACGGUGUGACGCCUGCCCGGUGCCGGAAGGUUAAUUGAUGGGGUUAGCGCAAGCGAAGCUCUUGAUCGAAGCCCCGGUAAACGGCGGCCGUAACUAUAACGGUCCUAAGGUAGCGAAAUUCCUUGUCGGGUAAGUUCCGACCUGCACGAAUGGCGUAAUGAUGGCCAGGCUGUCUCCACCCGAGACUCAGUGAAAUUGAACUCGCUGUGAAGAUGCAGUGUACCCGCGGCAAGACGGAAAGACCCCGUGAACCUUUACUAUAGCUUGACACUGAACAUUGAGCCUUGAUGUGUAGGAUAGGUGGGAGGCUUUGAAGUGUGGACGCCAGUCUGCAUGGAGCCGACCUUGAAAUACCACCCUUUAAUGUUUGAUGUUCUAACGUUGACCCGUAAUCCGGGUUGCGGACAGUGUCUGGUGGGUAGUUUGACUGGGGCGGUCUCCUCCUAAAGAGUAACGGAGGAGCACGAAGGUUGGCUAAUCCUGGUCGGACAUCAGGAGGUUAGUGCAAUGGCAUAAGCCAGCUUGACUGCGAGCGUGACGGCGCGAGCAGGUGCGAAAGCAGGUCAUAGUGAUCCGGUGGUUCUGAAUGGAAGGGCCAUCGCUCAACGGAUAAAAGGUACUCCGGGGAUAACAGGCUGAUACCGCCCAAGAGUUCAUAUCGACGGCGGUGUUUGGCACCUCGAUGUCGGCUCAUCACAUCCUGGGGCUGAAGUAGGUCCCAAGGGUAUGGCUGUUCGCCAUUUAAAGUGGUACGCGAGCUGGGUUUAGAACGUCGUGAGACAGUUCGGUCCCUAUCUGCCGUGGGCGCUGGAGAACUGAGGGGGGCUGCUCCUAGUACGAGAGGACCGGAGUGGACGCAUCACUGGUGUUCGGGUUGUCAUGCCAAUGGCACUGCCCGGUAGCUAAAUGCGGAAGAGAUAAGUGCUGAAAGCAUCUAAGCACGAAACUUGCCCCGAGAUGAGUUCUCCCUGACUCCUUGAGAGUCCUGAAGGAACGUUGAAGACGACGACGUUGAUAGGCCGGGUGUGUAAGCGCAGCGAUGCGUUGAGCUAACCGGUACUAAUGAACCGUGAGGCUUAACCUU
RNAcentral lists this ribosomal RNA (2904 nucleotides) under Escherichia coli. RNAcentral describes it as "23S ribosomal RNA". It matches the Rfam family "Bacterial large subunit ribosomal RNA". Lineage: Bacteria; Pseudomonadati; Pseudomonadota; Gammaproteobacteria; Enterobacterales; Enterobacteriaceae. The record is from RNAcentral.